GAGUGAGUGGCGCACGGCUGAGGAGCACGUGGCUGACCUACCCCGGCGUGGGGGAUAACGGGCCGAAAGGCUCGCUAAUCCCGCAUACGAUCACCUUCACGGGUGAGGAAAGCUUCGGCGCGCUGGGCGGGGGCCGCGUCCCAUUAGAUUGUUGGUGUGGUAAUGGCGCACCAAGUCGAUGAUGGGUUCCGGGUCUGAGAGGACGACCCGGCAGACUGGGACUGAGACACGGCCCAGACUCCUACGGGGGGCAGCAGCAAGGAAUUUUCGGCAAUGGGCGCAAGCCUGACCGAGCAACGCCGCGUGGAGGAUGACGGCUUUCGGGUUGUAAACUCCUUUUAGGUGGGACGAUAAUGACGGUACCACCUGAAUCAGACCCGGCUAACUACGUGCCAGCAGCCGCGGUAAUACGUAGGGGUCGAGCGUUGUCCGGACUUACUGGGCGUAAAGCGUGGGUAGGUGGCUAGUGAUGUGCCGUAUGAAAGCGCCGCGCUUCUCGCGGCGAGGUCGCGGUAGACACACUAGCUAGAGGCACGGAGAGGGGCGUAGAAUUCCCGGUGUAGUGGUGAAAUGCGUAGAUAUCGGGAGGAAUACCAGUGGCGCAAGCGGCGCCCUGGCCGUGACCUGACACUGAGCCACGACGGCGUGGGGAGCAAACGGGAUUAGAUACCCCGGUAGUCCACGCAGUAAACGAUGCAUACCCGGUGUUGGAUUGGCGUCAAGCCCGUUCAGUGCCUGAGCUUACGCGAUGAGUAUGCCGCCUGGGGACUACGAGCGCAAGC
RNAcentral lists this ribosomal RNA (782 nucleotides) under uncultured Chloroflexota bacterium. RNAcentral describes it as "bacterial SSU rRNA". It matches the Rfam family "Bacterial small subunit ribosomal RNA", at positions 89 to 893 of the family's 1533-position model. Lineage: Bacteria; Bacillati; Chloroflexota. The record is from RNAcentral.